RNA transcript from Panicum virgatum (switchgrass), 1098 nucleotides. RefSeq lists it as uncharacterized. The transcript has 3 exons. NCBI's taxonomy places the organism in Eukaryota, Viridiplantae, Streptophyta, Magnoliopsida, Poales, Poaceae. The record is from RefSeq and is a predicted model, not a curated record.
UGUUCGUCGGUGCGGCAAAAUCGGGUACCAACCCGCACCGAACCCACACGGACCCGAUGUUUCGGUCUCCAGCCCGGGUUGGAGCCCGGACCACUGUGGACCCAUGCGACGGAAGACCGGUCUGCCGGUUUACGGGUCCAGGCCGUGAAACCCACGGAGACCAGUAUAUAUCGAAACAACAACAAAGGGUGGCGGCGGCCGCUGAGACGGACGGCCUGUGGCGGCGGCCAGCAGCGACGGUCGGCGGCCAGCAGCGACGGCCGGCGGCCAGGACGAAGAUGCCGCGCGACUGCCUUGCUCGAGGCCUCGAGGUGGAGGCUGCGCUCGCUGCGGAGGCAACAUGGGAACUAAAGGAGGCUGUCGCAUCCAUGGCUGCUAGGUCAUUGGACAUGGAUGUGGAUUCGCCACCGCAUCUUCCCAUGGAGACCCUUGCUAAUCAGGUUAUACUGGAUGCUGAAGAACAUUCUUUGGAAGUACCUGCUAUUGCAAACGAAUACUGCUGCUGAAGGCCGGUGGUGUGAGAAAAAAAAUAUUAUUAGUUAGCUGGUGGUUAAAGAUUGCUGCUGAAAUGAUACGACUGAAAAACACAAGCAGAAGAGUAGUAUAGGGUCGAAACAGGCAGCCAGGCAGGCCCAUCCUUCUCUCUCCUCCUGUUUUGCUCUGCUUUUUUUUAUUGCUCUGCGCGCAGAUGGAGAGAAUCUUUUGCUAGAGAGAGGGUGGAAGGGAGAGAGAUGGGGAAUGCGCUGUGCGGGCUCGUUUGCUUGGUGCAAUGGAGAAUCUGCCUGUGCCUCAGACCCCCAACCGCAGGCGAGCAAAAUCAGACGCCUGGAGACGCUGCCCGGCCCAGUCAGCUUUCCCAGGGUCUGAUCCAAACAGACCCGCUCCUCCUGAUAUUUCCGCUGCUGUGCUGCGUUUGCCUCCCGUCCCGUCCGUAUUUCUAUAUUUAUUCCACUCAUUUCUGUAUUUAUGAAAAAAAUAUAAAAUUAAGAUGGAAAGCGGGAGGAGGUGUAUCCCACCCGUAUUUGCGGAAUUCUGUUUUUAGCCGGAAUAAUUCCGUAUUUUUUGUAUUUAUAAAAUUCGGGAAAAAAUAAAUAAGCA